Small nuclear RNA from Eptesicus fuscus (big brown bat), 102 nucleotides. The record is from RefSeq and is a predicted model, not a curated record. NCBI's taxonomy places the organism in Eukaryota, Metazoa, Chordata, Mammalia, Chiroptera, Vespertilionidae.
GUUCACUUUGGCAGCACAUACACUAAAAUUAGAAUACAGAAGAGAUUAGCGUGGCUCUUGCACAAGGAUGACACACAAAUUCAUGAAGCAUUCCAUAUUUUA